GCUUACGGCCAUACCACCCUGAGCGCGCCCGAUCUCGUCUGAUCUCGGAAGCUAAGCAGGGUCGGGCUUGGUUAGUACUUGGAUGGGAGACCGCCUGGGAAUACCAGGUGCUGUAAGCUUUA
This 122-nucleotide ribosomal RNA is filed under the name Cyprinus carpio (common carp). Lineage: Eukaryota; Metazoa; Chordata; Actinopteri; Cypriniformes; Cyprinidae. The record is from RNAcentral.